This 548-nucleotide ribosomal RNA is filed under the name uncultured bacterium. RNAcentral describes it as "bacterial SSU rRNA". It matches the Rfam family "Bacterial small subunit ribosomal RNA", at positions 355 to 895 of the family's 1533-position model. The record is from RNAcentral.
UAGGGAAUCUUCCACAAUGGGCGCAAGCCUGAUGGAGCAACACCGCGUGAGUGAAGAAGGGUUUCGGCUCGUAAAGCUCUGUUGUUAAAGAAGAACACGUAUGAGAGUAACUGUUCAUACGUUGACGGUAUUUAACCAGAAAGUCACGGCUAACUACGUGCCAGCAGCCGCGGUAAUACGCAGGUGGCAAGCGUUAUCCGGAUUUAUUGGGCGUAAAGAGAGUGCAGGCGGUUUUCUAAGUCUGAUGUGAAAGCCUUCGGCUUAACCGGAGAAGUGCAUCGGAAACUGGAUAACUUGAGUGCAGAAGAGGGUAGUGGAACUCCAUGUGUAGCGGUGGAAUGCGUAGAUAUAUGGAAGAACACCAGUGGCGAAGGCGGCUACCUGGUCUGCAACUGACGCUGAGACUCGAAAGCAUGGGUAGCGAACAGGAUUAGAUACCCUGGUAGUCCAUGCCGUAACGAUGAGUGCUAGGUGUUGGAGGGUUUCCGCCCUUCAGUGCCGGAGCUAACGCAUUAAGCACUCCGCCUGGGGAGUACGACCGCAAGGUU